AUACGGAGGAUGCGGGCGUUAUCCGGAUUUAUUGGGUUUAAAGGGUGCGUAGGCGGAAAGGUAAGUCAGCGGUGAAACUCAGGUGCUCAACACCUGCCGUGCCGUUGAUACUGUUUUUCUGGAAUGCGGAUGCUGUGGGAGGAAUGUGUGGUGUAGCGGUGAAAUGCAUAGAUAUCACACAGAACACCGAUUGCGAAGGCAUCUCACAAAUCCGUGAUUGACGCUGAGGCACGAAAGUGUGGGGAUCGAACAGGAUUAGAUACCCUGGUAGUCCACACUGUAAACGAUGAUAACUCGCUGUUGGCGAUAUACAGUCAGUGGCCAAGCGAAAGCGAUAAGUUAUCCACCUGGGGAGUACGUCGGCAACGAUGAAACUCAAAUGAAUUGACGGGG
RNAcentral lists this ribosomal RNA (393 nucleotides) under uncultured bacterium. Its description in RNAcentral is "partial 16S ribosomal RNA". It matches the Rfam family "Bacterial small subunit ribosomal RNA", at positions 523 to 918 of the family's 1533-position model. The record is from RNAcentral.